GAUGAAGGAACGUAGCGAAAUGCGAUAAGUAAUGCGAAUUGCAGAAUUUCCGUGAGUCAUCGAAUCUUUGAACGCACAUUGCGCCCACUGGUAUUCCGGUGGGCAUGCCUGCUCGAGCGUCAUUAUCCUCCCUCAAACCCCGGGUUUGGUGUUGGACCGAAGUUGUGUGAACAACUGGUCUAAAAAACAAUGACGGCGUCCGUGGGACCCUCGGUGCAACGAGCUUUUAGGAGCACGCGCCGAGUUGCAAGGACCUUCCGGGCCGGUCUCCUUUUACUAUUUUACAAGGUUGACCUCGGAUCAGGUAGGAAUACCCGCUGAACUUAAGCAUAUCAAUAAGCGGAGGA
RNAcentral lists this unclassified non-coding RNA (347 nucleotides) under soil metagenome. Its description in RNAcentral is "partial contains 5.8S ribosomal RNA, internal transcribed spacer 2, and large subunit ribosomal RNA". The stretch from base 1 to 122 matches the Rfam family "5.8S ribosomal RNA", at positions 35 to 154 of the family's 154-position model. The record is from RNAcentral.